This 254-nucleotide ribosomal RNA is filed under the name uncultured bacterium. RNAcentral's name for it is "partial 16S ribosomal RNA". It matches the Rfam family "Bacterial small subunit ribosomal RNA", at positions 524 to 776 of the family's 1533-position model. The record is from RNAcentral.
UACGAAGGGGGCUAGCGUUGUUCGGAAUUACUGGGCGUAAAGCGCGCGUAGGCGGUUUUGCAAGCCAGAGGAGAAAUGCCUGAGCUCAACUUAGGAAUUGCCUUUGGGACUGUGAGACUUCGAGGCCUGGAGAGGUGAGUGGAAUUCCCAGUGUAGAGGUGAAAGUCGUAGAUAUUGGGAAGAACACCGGUGGCGAAGGCGGGUCACUGGCCAGUUUCUGCCGCUGUAGCGCGAAAGCGUGCGGAUCUCGCAGA